CUGAGCCUCAACAAGAGGUUGUAGCGAUACACACAGCAUGAGCAUGGGGACCUUUCUUUUUUUUAAAAAUGUAACACAAAGGGAGAGAGAGAGAGCGAGAGAGCAGUCUAACCUCUCUGUACAAAGGAGAUCUGAUCGACCCUCAUGAGUGUGGAGGGGUGGCUUGAGGUGGGGGAUAUGGUUCUGCCUCGCCUGCAUGAGUGCUCCGGAGGGAAAGGCAAACCAAAAGGCAUGCCUUUUUAACAAAAGGUGCAGAACCUGGAAAUUAAGAAAUUUGGAAAAGAAAAACAAGAAUAAGACUGAAGAUGUUGUCGGCUUUCGUUGCUGUGCUUCGGACCUUCACUGAGCUCAUGUUUGUGUUUUAAAGGAAGAACUUACUCAAAGACACGUCCAGAUGUAUUCAGCAGCUGUGAGUGGCUGUGAUGGGGAUGGAGUGCUGUACGGCUGACUGACCUAGCCCACUUAGCAAGAAAGAGCCCAUGUUCAGUUUCCUGGUCUAAGCACAACCUUGAUGCAGGAGGGAACCUAAAGAAAUCACCCCUGGGUCAAAACUUCAUGUUGAGUUGCUGAAAGGGAAAAACUGAGCAGCUUUUCUCCUUUUGUGGUCAUGACCUGUCAGGGAACUGAAGCCCUGCAUGGAUACCACUGUCAUCACCCACACCAUCACCGUCAUCAUGCUAUUUAAAGACUUAAUUCUCUAUUCCAGUAUUGCUGCAGAUACUGCUUGGUCAUAGACAAGUUAGUUUAAAUAUCUUAUCAAUGGAGAACAGUUCUAGGAAACCAAAUAAGCGUUAUUGAUUAGUCUAACAGUUGAA
Molecule: long non-coding RNA, 815 nt
Organism: Pundamilia nyererei
Lineage: Eukaryota; Metazoa; Chordata; Actinopteri; Cichliformes; Cichlidae
Exons: 4
Source: RefSeq, a predicted model, not a curated record